RNAcentral lists this ribosomal RNA (662 nucleotides) under uncultured bacterium. RNAcentral describes it as "bacterial SSU rRNA". It matches the Rfam family "Bacterial small subunit ribosomal RNA", at positions 68 to 746 of the family's 1533-position model. The record is from RNAcentral.
AGUUGAUUCUCUUCGGAGAUGAAGCUAGCGGCGGACCCGUGAGUAACACGUGGGCAACCUGCCUCAUAGAGGGGAAUAGCCUCCCGAAAGGGAGAUUAAUACCGCAUAAGAUUGUAGCUUUGCAUGAAGUAGCAAUUAAAGGAGUAAUCCGCUAUGAGAUGGGCCCGCGGCGCAUUAGCUAGUUGGUGAGGUAACGGCUCACCAAGGCGACGAUGCGUAGCCGACCUGAGAGGGUGAUCGGCCACAUUGGGACUGAGACACGGCCCAGACUCCUACGGGAGGCAGCAGUGGGGAAUAUUGCACAAUGGGGGAAACCCUGAUGCAGCAACGCCGCGUGAGUGAUGACGGCCUUCGGGUUGUAAAGCUCUGUCUUCAGGGACGAUAAUGACGGUACCUGAGGAGGAAGCCACGGCUAACUACGUGCCAGCAGCCGCGGUAAUACGUAGGUGGCGAGCGUUGUCCGGAUUUACUGGGCGUAAAGGGAGCGUAGGCGGACUUUUAAGUGAGAUGUGAAAUACCCGGGCUCAACUUGGGUGCUGCAUUUCAAACUGGAAGUCUAGAGUGCAGGAGAGGAGAAUGGAAUUCCUAGUGUAGCGGUGAAAUGCGUAGAGAUUAGGAAGAACACCAGUGGCGAAGGCGAUUCUCUGGACUGUAACUGACGC